AGUGAACGCUGGCGGUAGGCCUAACACAUGCAAGUCGAACGGCAGCACAGUAAGAGCUUGCUCUUACGGGUGGCGAGUGGCGGACGGGUGAGGAAUACAUCGGAAUCUACUUUUUCGUGGGGGAUAACGUAGGGAAACUUACGCUAAUACCGCAUACGACCUACGGGUGAAAGCAGGGGAUCUUCGGACCUUGCGCGAUUGAAUGAGCCGAUGUCGGAUUAGCUAGUUGGCGGGGUAAAGGCCCACCAAGGCGACGAUCCGUAGCUGGCCUGAGAGGAUGAUCAGCCACACUGGAACUGAGACACGGGCCAGACUCCUACGGGAGGCAGCAGUGGGGAAUAUUGGACAAUGGGCGCAAGCCUGAUCCAGCCAUACCGCGUGGGUGAAGAAGGCCUGCGGGUUGUAAAGCCAUUUUGUUGGGAAAGAAAAGCAGCAGGUUAAUACCCCGCUGUUCGGACGGUACCCAAAGAAUAAGCACCGGCUAACUUCGU
Molecule: ribosomal RNA, 491 nt
Filed under: uncultured bacterium
Lineage: Bacteria
Description: partial 16S ribosomal RNA
Rfam family: Bacterial small subunit ribosomal RNA
Source: RNAcentral